Molecule: small nuclear RNA, 108 nt
Organism: Cervus hanglu yarkandensis (Yarkand deer)
Lineage: Eukaryota; Metazoa; Chordata; Mammalia; Artiodactyla; Cervidae
Source: Ensembl
GUGCCCUCUUCGGCAACACAUGUACUAAAACUUGAACUAUAUAGAGAAGCUUAGCAUGGCCCCCAUAGCAAGGAUGACAUGCAAAUUUGUGAGGUGUUCCAUAUUUUG